UGUUGUGGAUGAUGAGAAAUAUAAAUUAUCAUACAGUUAUCCCUGUCUGAUACAUUCAGUGCUGAAUAUGUGAUCUGACACACAC
Molecule: non-coding RNA, 85 nt
Organism: Jatropha curcas
Lineage: Eukaryota; Viridiplantae; Streptophyta; Magnoliopsida; Malpighiales; Euphorbiaceae
Source: Rfam